This 506-nucleotide small RNA is filed under the name uncultured fungus. RNAcentral describes it as "eukaryotic LSU rRNA". The stretch from base 212 to 366 matches the Rfam family "5.8S ribosomal RNA". The record is from RNAcentral. Lineage: Eukaryota; Fungi.
GGAAGGAUCAUUACAGAAUUGUCAACGGGUUGUUGCUGGUCCUCAAACGGGGACAUGUGCACGCUCUGUUUACACAUCCACUCACACCUGUGCACCCUCCGUAGUUCUAUGGUCUGGGAGACCCCGUCUUCCUGCCGUGGUUCUAUGUCUUUACACACACACUGUAAUAAAGUCUUAUGGAAUGUAUGCCGCGUCUAACGCAAUACAAUACAACUUUCAGCAACGGAUCUCUUGGCUCUCGCAUCGAUGAAGAACGCAGCGAAAUGCGAUAAGUAAUGUGAAUUGCAGAAUUCAGUGAAUCAUCGAAUCUUUGAACGCACCUUGCGCCCCUUGGCUAUUCCGAGGGGCAUGCCUGUUUGAGUAUCAUGAACACCUCAACUCUCAUGGUUCGCCAUGAUGAGCUUGGACUCUGGGGGUUUUGCUGGCCUGCGGUCGGCUCCCCUUAAAUGAAUCAGCCUCCCAGUGUUUGGUGGCAUCACGGGUGUGAUAAAUAUCUACGCUCGCAG